RNAcentral lists this ribosomal RNA (253 nucleotides) under uncultured bacterium. RNAcentral's name for it is "partial 16S ribosomal RNA". It matches the Rfam family "Bacterial small subunit ribosomal RNA", at positions 524 to 776 of the family's 1533-position model. The record is from RNAcentral.
UACGUAGGGUGCAAGCGUUGUCCGGAAUUAUUGGGUGUAAAGAGCUCGUAGGCGGUUUGUCGCGUCUGCCGUGAAAGUCCGGGGCUCAACUCCGGAUCUGCGGUGGGUACGGGCAGACUAGAGUGAUGUAGGGGAGACUGGAAUUCCUGGUGUAGCGGUGAAAUGCGCAGAUAUCAGGAGGAACACCGAUGGCGAAGGCAGGUCUCUGGGCAUUAACUGACGCUGAGGAGCGAAAGCAUGGGGAGCGAACAGG